UGGGGAAUAUUGGACAAUGGGCGAAAGCCUGAUCCAGCCAUGCCGCGUGUGUGAAGAAGGUCUUCGGAUUGUAAAGCACUUUAAGCUGGGAGGAAGGGCAGUAAGCGAAUACCUUGCUGUUUUGACGUUACCGACAGAAUAAGCACCGGCUAACCCUGUGCCAGCAGCCGCGGUAAUACAGAGGGUGCAAGCGUUAAUCGGAAUUACUGGGCGUAAAGCGCGCGUAGGUGGUUCGUUAAGUUGAAUGUGAAAGCCCCGGGCACAGCCUGGGAACUGCAUCCAAAACUGGCGAGCUAGAGUAGGGGAGAGUGUGGUGGAGUUUCCUGUGUAGCGGUGGGAUGCGUAGAUAUAGGAAGGAAGACCAAUGGCGAAGGCGACCACCUGGGAUCAUGCUGCCACUGAGGUGCGAAAGCGUGUGGAGCAAACAGG
Molecule: ribosomal RNA, 429 nt
Filed under: Pseudomonadota bacterium
Lineage: Bacteria; Pseudomonadati; Pseudomonadota
Description: Proteobacteria bacterium partial 16S ribosomal RNA
Rfam family: Bacterial small subunit ribosomal RNA
Source: RNAcentral